Procambarus clarkii (red swamp crayfish) is the source of this 3907-nucleotide non-coding RNA. NCBI's taxonomy places the organism in Eukaryota, Metazoa, Arthropoda, Malacostraca, Decapoda, Cambaridae. The record is from RefSeq and is a predicted model, not a curated record.
GUAUUAGUAAAAUAUAAUGGUUAGUACAAGAAUUACUUCUUAAAGGACUAAAUGUUAGUAAUUAAGUAUUGGAUGAUUAUGACGCCUAGUACAGGAAAUACAUCCUAUUGUAUUAGUGAUUAGUAAUUAGGUUUUGGAAAUUUCCAACAAUACGUUCACUGACCGAGGUCUCGGAGGCUAAGUUGGUAGAGAAGGGGGAAGGAGUGGUUACGGCUGGCUGAGUCCCGACCCGGCUCGACAGGUCUUGACUGGCUGCUGGCCACUCUCGAGUAGCGGUCUAUAUCUCGCUGUCCUUCACAAUGUCUCAAAUGAACAGUUCUAUGGGUAUUUAUGGGGGAACUGGGAGCUAAGCUUCGCUUACCAAAUAGUUAGCUUCUGGCUAUCUACCUACUUCACCUAGACCGCGGCUUGUCUGAUGGACAGACACGGCCAACCGGUUGCAAUUAUCAACUUAGCAGAAAGCAAGGUCACUUCACACAACCUGUUCACUCUCAACUUUUGAACAAUUGGCACCUGAAAGGCGUGACUUUGAAUGCUUAUAGUGUGACUGUUGGCGCCUUCAAUAUCAUGUGUGACUGACUCUCGUUGUAUGUAAAACAUAUUAAAUAAAACACAUUUAUGGUGUUACAGGGACAGGUAGGCGAGUACAUAUACUCUGAGGUGGUGAACAGUGGCAAGUAUCAGUGGUGGGGGCAGGGUGCAGCCGGAGAGCAAGGUGCACAUUAUUGCCUGUGACUUCAGCAGGAGCGCACACACUGCCAGAGCCGUUGUUGUUGUUGUUGUUGCUUUAGAUUCAGCUACUGGGAACCAAAAGCUCCAAGUAGCAUGGGUUAUGGUGAGCCCGUAGCCGCCAGAGCGCUCUACACUAUACAACCUGAGCCACACUGCUGCUGUCCUACACACCAUGAAGGUACAGUUCCCGUGUGUCUGCUGCCUCCUGCUGCUGCUGCUGCUGCCGGCGGUCCUCGCUGCUCCAAGACCUUACUCUAUCACCGUCUUAUGUAAUCGUCGGCGUAUUUAUGACAAGUUAUUGAGGAGGUGUGUCAGAAUUCCUCCUCCGAUUAAUAGGAGGAGGAAUCGGAGGCACAACACACCGCUUCAGCACCAAGUCUCCGCGGGCAAUAUACCGCUUCAGCACCAGGUGUCCGCUGGUAAUAUACCUCUUCAGCAGCAGGUGUCCACGGGUAAUAUACAGCUUCAGCAGCAGGUGUCCACGGGUAAUACACAGCUUCAGCACCAGGUGUCCGCGGGUAACACACCGCUUCAGCACCAGGUGUCCGCUGGUAACACACCGCUUCAGCGCCAGGUGUCCGCGAGUAAUACACCGCUUCAGCACCAGGUGUCCGCGGGUAAUACACCGCUUCAGCACCAGGUGUCCGCGGGGUAAUACACCUCUUCAGCACCAGGUGUCCGCGGGUAAUACACCGCUUCAGAACCAGGUGUCCGCGGGUAAUACACCGCUUCAGCACCAGGUGUCCGCUGGUAAUACACCGCUUCAGCACCAGAUGUCCGCGGGUAAUACACCGCUUCAGCACCAGGUGUCCGCUGGUAAUACACCGCUUCAGCACCAGGUGUCCGCUGGUAAUACACCGCUUCAGCACCAGGUGUCCGCGGGUAAUACACCGCUUCAGCACCAGGUGUCCGCGGGUAAUACACCGCUUCAGCACCAGGUGUCCGCGGGUAAUACACCGCUUCAGCACCAGGUGUCCGCGGGUAACACACCUCUUCAGCACCAGGUGUCCGCGGGUAAUACACCGCUUCAGCACCAGGUGUCUUCGGGUAACAGUUCAGCUGUUGAUACAGAUAUGAUAUAAGCGUGUUUGAAAUAUAUUGUAUGGUACACAGGGACACGAUCUAGUUUAGAGUCAGUGAACCUUAGACCUGAGUCUAGAACAGGUUCUUCCCAAGGAACUAGCGCUGGUGUGAUUAGGCAAGACUGCCACAGCCUCCCUUUGUUUUUAAUUCCUGUAUGUAAAGAAAUCCAGGUUACUAUUCUAUGUUGUAUUUAAUAAUUACCCGUAUUUACGUACCUAUGUAAUUUAUCAUCGUUUAAGUGUAAAGAUUCAGUCCCCUUAAGUGGGCCAAGUGAAUAGGAGUUAGCUUUGAUAAUGGUUCUAGUCUCGUUAAUGGUUGAUGGCAAUCAGUGAGGCUAGUGAGUAGGCUUGGGUAGCUUGCUUGAACCUAAGGCGAGAUCAGUGUGAUCUUGGUGAGGCUGGAGUAACAUCAUCUCCAGAGGAAGAACAGCCAGAACAUCGGCUGGCAGUUUGUAGACAUGUUAAGGGACAGGUAGGCGAGUACAUAUACUCUGAGGUGGUGAACAGUGGCAAGUAUCAGUGGUGUGGACAGGGUGCAGCCGGAGAGCAAGGUGCACAUUAUUGCCUGUGACUUCAGCAGGAGCGCACACACUGCCAGAGCUGUUGUUGUUGUUGUUGUUGUUGCUUUAGAUUCAGCUACUGGGAACCAAAAGCUCCAAGUAGCAUGGGCUAUGGUGAGCCCGUAGCCGCCAGAGCGCUCUACACUUUACAACCUGAGCCACACUGCUGCUGUCCUACACACCAUGAAGGUACAGUUCCCUUGUGUCUGUUGGCUCCUGCUGCUGCUGCUGCUGCUGCUGCUGCUGCCGGCGGUCCUCGCUGCUCCAAGACCUCAAUCUAUCACCGUCUUUUGUAAACCUUGGCUUAUUUAUGACAAGUUAUUGAGGAGGUGUGUCGGAAUUCCUCCUCCGAUUAUGAGGAGUCACAACACACCGCUUCAGCACCAAGUCUCCACGGGCAAUAUACCGCUUCAGCACCAGGUGUCCGCGGGUAAUACACAGCUUCAGCACCAGGUGUCCGCGGGUAAUACACCGCUUCAGCACCAGGUGUCCGCGGGUAACAGUUCAGCUGUUGAUACAGAUAUGAUAUAAGCGUGUUUGAAAUAUAUUGUAUGGUACACAGGGACACGAUCUAGUUUAGAGUCAGAGUGAACCUUAGACCUGAGUCUAGAACAGGUUCUUCCCAAGGAACUAGCGCUGGUGUGAUUAGGCAAGACUGCCACAGCCUCCCUUUGUUUUUAAUUCCUUUAUGUAAAGAAAUCCAGGUUACUAUUCUAUGUUGUAUUUAAUAAUUACCCGUAUUUACGUACCUAUGUAAUUUAUCAUCGUUUAAGUGUAAAGAUUCAGUCCCCUUAAGUGGGCCAAGUGAAUAGGAGUUAGCUUUGAUAAUGGUUCUAGUCUUGUUAAUGGUUGAUGGCAAUCAGUGAGGCUAGUGAGUAGGCUUGGGUAGCUUGCUUGAACCUAAGGCGAGAUCAGUGUGAUCUUGGUGAGGCUAGAGUAACAUCAUCUCCAGAGGAAGAACAGCCAGAACAUCGGCUGGCAGUUUGUAAACAUGUUAAGGUUCGUAUCCUGGCCGGGGAGGAUUUACUGGGCGCAAAUCCUUAACUGUAGCCUGUGUUUAACGCAACAGUAAAAUGUGUACUUGGUUGUAACAACGAUUCUUCGCGGCGGGGAUCGUAUUCCAGGGACCUGCCCGAAACGCUACGUGUACUAGUGGCUGUACAAGAAUGUAACAACUCUUGUAUAUAUCUCAAAAAAAAAAAGGUAAAUUCUGUUUGAGUUCAAGUGCGAGUUAGCUUCAUAUCAGUGCCUCAAGGUUUAGGAACAUUAGAUAGGAUCACAUUUUUUCAUUUAUUUAUACAAGAGUUGUUACAUUCUUGUACAGCCACUAGUACACGUAGCGUUUCGGGCAAGUCCUUAAUCCUAUGGUCACUGGAAUACGACCCCCACGAAGAAUUGUUUUUACAACCCGGUUCCCAUUUUACUGUUGAGUUAAACAGAGGCUGCAGUUAAGGAUUUGCACCCCAGUCAAUCCUCCCCGGCCAGGAUACGAUAGGAUAUUUCAUAAUUUGUGUCAAUAAAUGAAUUUAAUUA